Molecule: ribosomal RNA, 402 nt
Filed under: uncultured bacterium
Lineage: Bacteria
Description: partial 16S ribosomal RNA
Rfam family: Archaeal small subunit ribosomal RNA
Source: RNAcentral
ACACCGGCAGCUCAAGUGGUAGCCGCUUUUAUUGGGCUUAAAGCGUCGGAACCCGGUCUGUAAGGCUUCUGGUGAAUCCCCCCACCUUACUGGGGGGAUUGCCUGGAGAUCUAACAAGACUCGGAGUCCGGAGGGGCCGGGGGGACCUCCAGGGGAAGGGGGAAAAUCUGGAAAUCCUGGGAGGACCACCUGGGGCGAAGGCGUCCAGCUGGAACGAACCGGACGGGGAGGGACGAAAGCCAGGGGCGCGAACCGGAUUAGAUACCCGGGUAGUCCUGGCCGUAAACGAUGUGGACUUGGUGUUGGGAUGGCUUCGAGCUGCCCCAGUGCCGAAGGGAAGCUGUUAAGUCCACCGCCUGGGAAGUACGGCCGCAAGGCUGAAACUUAAAUGAAUUGGCGGGG